GAUGAAGAACGCAGCGAAAUGCGAUAAGUAAUGUGAAUUGCAGAAUUUAGUGAAUCAUCGAAUCUUUGAACGCACAUUGCGCCCCUUGGUAUUCCGAGGGGCAUGCCUGUCCGAGCGUCAUUACAACCCUCAAGCUCAGCUUGGUGUUGGGCCCCGCCGCCCCGGCGGGCCCUAAAGUCAGUGGCGGUGCCGUCCGGCUCCGAGCGUAGUAAUUCUUCUCGCUCUGGAGGUCCGGUCGUGUGCUCGCCAGCAACCCCCAAUUUUUUUCAGGUUGACCUCGGAUCAGGUAGGGAUACCCGCUGAACUUAAGCAUAUCAAUAAGCGGAGGA
This 329-nucleotide unclassified non-coding RNA is filed under the name soil metagenome. RNAcentral's name for it is "partial contains 5.8S ribosomal RNA, internal transcribed spacer 2, and large subunit ribosomal RNA". The stretch from base 1 to 120 matches the Rfam family "5.8S ribosomal RNA", at positions 35 to 154 of the family's 154-position model. The record is from RNAcentral.